AUUGAACGCUGGCGGCAGGCCUAACACAUGCAAGUCGAGCGGAUGAGUGGAGCUUGCUCCAUGAUUCAGCGGCGGACGGGUGAGUAAUGCCUAGGAAUCUGCCUGGUAGUGGGGGACAACGUUUCGAAAGGAACGCUAAUACCGCAUACGUCCUACGGGAGAAAAUGGGGGAUCUUCGGACCUCACGCUAUCAGAUGAGCCUAGGUCGGAUUAGCUAGUUGGUGAGGUAAAGGCUCACCAAGGCGACGAUCCGUAACUGGUCUGAGAGGAUGAUCAGUCACACUGGAACUGAGACACGGUCCAGACUCCUACGGGAGGCAGCAGUGGGGAAUAUUGGACAAUGGGCGAAAGCCUGAUCCAGCCAUGCCGCGUGAGUGAAGAAGGUCUUCGGAUUGUAAAGCACUUUAAGUUGGGAGGAAGGGCAGUAAGUUAAUACCUUGCUGUUUUGACGUUACCAACAGAAUAAGCACCGGCUAACUUCGUG
RNAcentral lists this ribosomal RNA (484 nucleotides) under uncultured bacterium. RNAcentral describes it as "partial 16S ribosomal RNA". It matches the Rfam family "Bacterial small subunit ribosomal RNA", at positions 30 to 507 of the family's 1533-position model. The record is from RNAcentral.